UACAGAGGGUGCGAGCGUUAUUCGGAAUUACUGGGCGUAAAGCGUGCGUAGGCGGCUUUGCAAGUCGGGUGUGAAAUCCCCAGGCUUAACCUGGGAACUGCAUUCGAGACUGCAUUGCUAGAGUAUGGGAGAGGGAAGUGGAAUUUCAGGUGUAGCGGUGAAAUGCGUAGAUAUCUGAAGGAACAUCAGUGGCGAAAGCGACUUCCUGGACCAAUACUGACGCUCAUGUGCGAAAGCGUGGGGAGCAAACAGG
Molecule: ribosomal RNA, 253 nt
Filed under: uncultured bacterium
Lineage: Bacteria
Description: partial 16S ribosomal RNA
Rfam family: Bacterial small subunit ribosomal RNA
Source: RNAcentral